RNAcentral lists this ribosomal RNA (693 nucleotides) under uncultured bacterium. RNAcentral's name for it is "bacterial SSU rRNA". It matches the Rfam family "Bacterial small subunit ribosomal RNA", at positions 122 to 800 of the family's 1533-position model. The record is from RNAcentral.
UAACCUGCCCGUGAAGUAGGGGAUAACACUUGGAAACAGGUGCUAAUACCGUAUAACAACCAAAACCACCUGGUUUUGGUUUAAAAGACGGCUUCGGCUGUCACUUUAGGAUGGACCCGCGGCGUAUUAGCUUGUUGGUAAGGUAACGGCCUACCAAGGCGAUGAUACGUAGCCGACCUGAGAGGGUAAUCGGCCACAUUGGGACUGAGACACGGCCCAAACUCCUACGGGAGGCAGCAGUAGGGAAUCUUCCACAAUGGACGAAAGUCUGAUGGAGCAACGCCGCGUGAGUGAUGAAGGGUUUCGGCUCGUAAAACUCUGUUGUUGGAGAAGAACAGGUGUCAGAGUAACUGUUGACAUCUUGACGGUAUCCAACCAGAAAGCCACGGCUAACUACGUGCCAGCAGCCGCGGUAAUACGUAGGUGGCAAGCGUUGUCCGGAUUUAUUGGGCGUAAAGCGAGCGCAGGCGGUUUUUUAGGUCUGAUGUGAAAGCCUUCGGCUUAACCGGAGAAGUACAUCGGAAACCGGGAGACUUGAGUGCAGAAGAGGACAGUGGAACUCCAUGUGUAGCGGUGAAAUGCGUAGAUAUAUGGAAGAACACCAGUGGCGAAGGCGGCUGUCUGGUCUGUAACUGACGCUGAGGCUCGAAAGCAUGGGUAGCGAACAGGAUUAGAUACCCUGGUAGUCCAUGC